NGUCAUACACAGCUUCAAUCUUCACACAAACUUGUUGGUGUAGUUACAUCAUGGCCUUCAAAUUGUCAUUUGCAUCCUUGUGAACCAAUUCACCAUUUGGAAAUGGAAUGAAAUACAAAGGCUUGUAAGGAUUCACACCAUACACCACUUACGUAGGCUUAUAAGGACCUUCAGCUUUUGGCAUCAACUUUUGUUUGGAAAACGUUCUUUCCUCAUAUGCACCAACACCAAAUCACCAUCUUGAAAGACACGAGGUUUCCUAUACAUGUUGGAAUUCUGUUUGUACACGUCAAUCACGGCUUCAAUCUUCACACUAGCUUGUUGGUGUAGUUUCGUCAUGGCCUUCAACUUGUCAUUAGCAUCCUUGUGAACCAAUUCAUCGUUUGGAAAUGGAAUAAUAUACAAAGGCUCGUAAGGAUUCACACCAUACACCACUUACAAAGGCUUGUAAGGACCUUCAGCUCUUGGCAUCAACUCUUGUUCAAAGUGAACAAAGGUUAGUUUGAUUAAAAUUUCAUCUAUCUCUUUUUUCCAUGCAUAAUUGGCUUAUAUGAAGCCUUUAUAACAAAGUUGGUGGUUACUAGCCACCCAACCAACUACUCAGUAAAACUAAUAAUGGAAAUUAAUGAAACUCAUGAAACCACACAAAAAAACGUCUAACACAAUAAAGAGUGAAAAAAGUGUCCACGCUCCAUUAAGGAGCAAAAAGAAGCAUUAAAGUGUAACCCAAAAGAAGCACUUAUUAAGCCUUUAAAAUGUUGUCGUAGCCUUCAUGCAACCCUAAUUCAAUAUGUAGGUUAGCAUGCACAACCCAACCAAUGAGUACAAACCACCUUCUAGCCUACUAGUAAUCACUAAUCCAUCACAUUUUUCGGCUUUUCAUGAGCCAUGCAUGGAUCCUCCCCUCCCUCUUUGAAAGGAAAUGACCUUAAUUCAUCAAGGCCAUCCUCAACAAGAUACGGUGAAAGGUCUCCCACAUUAAAGGUAGCAUGCACUCAAUGGUCUCGUCUCAGAUCAACCUUAUAAGUAUUAUCAUUGACAUGUGUCACCACUUUGUAAGGACCUUCAGCUCUUGGCAUGAAUUUUUGCUCUUCCUUUUGUUAAGAAAACGUUCUUUCCUCAUAUGCACCUAAACCAAGUCACCAUCUUGUAAGACACGUGAUUUCCUAUUCAUGUUGGAAUUCUGUUUGUACACGUCAUUCACAGCUUCAAUUUUCACAAAAACGUGUUGCUGUAGUUACAUCAUGGCCUUCAAAUUGUCAUUUGCAUCCUUGUGAACCAAUUCAUCAUUUGGAAAUGGAAUCAAAUACAAAGGCUUAUAAGGAUUCACACCAUACACCACUUACGAAGGCUUAUAAGGACCUUCAGCUUUUGGCAUCACCUUUUGUUCUUCCUUUUGUUUGGAAAACGUUCUUUCCUCAUAUGCACCUAAACCAAGUCACCAUCUUGAAAGACACGAGGUUUCCUAUACAUGUUGGAAUACUUUUUGUACACAUCAUUAACGGCUUCAAUCUUCACACGAGCUUGUUGGUGUAGUUUCGUCAGGGCCUUCAACUUGUCAUUAGCAUCCUUGUGAACCAAUUCAUCUUUUGGAAAUUGAAUAAUAUACAAAGGCUUGUAAUGAUUCACACCAUAGACCACUUACAAAGGCUUGUAAGGACCUUUAGCUCUUGGCAUCAACUUUUGUUCUUCCUUUUGUUACGAAAACGUUCUUUCCUCAUAUGCACCUAAACCAAGUCACCAUCUUGAAAGGCAUGUGGUUUCCUAUGCAUGGUUGAAUUCUAUUUGUACACGUCAUUCAUGGCUUCAAUCUUCACAAGAACUUGUUGGUGUAGUUUCAUCAUGGCCUUCAACUUGUCAUUAGUAUCCCUGUGAACCAAUUCAUCGUUUGGAAAUGGAAUCAAAUAUAAAGGCUUGUAAGGAUUCACACCAUACAUCACUUAUAAAGGACAGUGUCCUGUAGCAUAAGUAGGAGAACUAUUACAGGCAAACUCAGCAUGUGCAAGUUUGAUGUCCAACUGUUUUUGAGUUUUGCCAACCAACCCCCUCAAUAGCAUACCCAAAGUUCUAUUAGUCACCUUCGUUUGCCAAUCAGUUUGUGGAUGAUGGGACGUACUAAAAAGUUACUUAGUACCAACUUUCCUCCACAAAGUGUUCCAAAUGUAACUCAAAAACAUGGAAUCCCUAUCAGAAACAAUAGUUUUAAGAAUAAUAUGCAAGCGAACCACUUCUUUAAAGUACAAAUCAGACACAUUAGAUGAAUCAUUGGUGUUAUGACUUGGCAUAAAGUGAGCCAUUUUUGAAAACCUAUCCACCACCAUUAUAAUGGAUUCCUUCCCCCUUUGAGUUCUAGGAAAAGCCAUACUGAAUUCCAUUGACACCUCUUGCUAAGGACGAAUAGGAACCGACAAAGGAGUGUAAACACCAUGCUUGAAAGUUUUUUUCGGCAUCCGACAUGUAAGAAACUUGCCCACUAUGUUGGUUACAUCCCUAACAUCUUUAGGCCAGAAGAAAUGUUCUUAAAGCACCUUCAAAGUUUUGGUAAUGGAAAAAUGACCCGCCAAACCACCACCAUGAGCUUCACGAAUCAGCAACUCCUGUAUUUCAUGUUUAGGGACACAAAGGUCAUUGCCUUUUGAUGCCUUUAUGGGCUUGAUUAAGUGAGUGGGGUUGUGUUUAGGUAAAUUAAGCUAAAAUAACUUCCACAAAUGCUUAGUAAGAAAUCAAGACCUACUAAGUUGUAUACUCGUGAAAACUAUCCAAGAAAUAAUAUUUGUUUGAAUGCGUAUCAAGUCAAGAACACAUCUCGACUAUCACAAGUAGUGAACUAUAACUAUAGCUCAAAGUGAACAAAGGUUAUUUUGAUUAGAAUUUCAUCUAUCUCUUUUUUCCAUGCAUAAUUGGCUUAUAUGAAGCCUUUAUAACAAAGUUGGUGGUUACUAGCCACCCAACCAACUACUCAGUAAAACUAAUAAUGGAAAUUAAAGAAACUCAUGAAACCACACAAAAAAACGUAUGACACACUAAUGAAUGAAAAAAGUGUCCACACUCCAUUAAGGAGCAAAAAGAAGCAUUAAAGUGUAACCCAAAUCCACUAAAGAGUAUCAAUAAUGGCUAGAAGGCUUGAUGAAGCAAAAAGUAACAGUUUUGAGCACUUAUUAAGCCUUUAAAAUGUUGCCCUAGCCUUCAUGUGACACUAAUUCAAUACGUAGGUUACCAUGCACAACCCAACCAUUGAGUAUAAACCACCUUCUAGCCUACUAGUAAUCACUAAUCCAUCACCUUUUUCGGCUUUUCAUGAGCCAUGCAUGGAUCCUCCCCUCCCUCUUUUAAAGGAAAUAACCUUAAUUCAUCAAGGACAUCCUCAACAAGAUACGGUGAAAGGUCUCCCACAUUUAAGGUAGCAUGCACUCCACGGUCUCAUCCCAGAUUAACCUUAUAUGUAUUACCAUUGACAUGUGUCACCACUUUGUAAGGACCUUCAGCUCUUGGCAUCAACUUUUGCUCUUCCUUUUGUUAAGAAAACGUUCUUUCCUCAUAUGCACCUAAACCAAGUCAACAUCUUGUAAGACACGUGGUUUCCUAUUCAUGUUGGAAUUCUGUUUGUGCACGUCAUUCACAGCUUCAAUCUUCACACAAACUUGUUGGUGUAGUUACAUCAUGGCCUUUAAAUUAUCAUUUGCAUCCAUGUGAACCAAUUCAUCAUUUGGAAAUGGAAUCAAAUACAAAGGCUUGUAAAGAUUCACACCAUACACCACUUACGAAGGUUUAUAAGGACCUUCAGCUUUUGGCAUUAACUUUUGUUCUUCCAUUUGUUUGGAAAAUGUUCUUUCCUCAUAUGCACCUAAACCAAGUCACCAUCUUGAAAGAUACGAGGUUUCCUAUACAUGUUGGAAUUCUGUUGUUACACGUCAUUCACGGCUUCAAUCUUCACACGAGCUUGUUAGUGUAGUUUCGUCAUGGCCUUCAACUUGUCAUUAGCAUCCUUGAGAACCAAUUCAUCGUUUGGAAAUGGAAUAAUAUAUAAAGGCUUGUAAGGAUUCACACCAUACACCACUUACAAAGGCUUGUAAGGACCUUCAGCUCGUCGCAUCAACAUUUGUUCUUCCUUUUGUUAGGAAAACGUUCUUUCCACAUAUGCACCUAAACAAAGUCACCAUCUUGAAAGACAUGUGGUUUCCUAUGCAUGUUGCAAUUCUGUUUGUACACGUCAUUCAUGGCUUCAAUCUUCACAAGAACUUGUUGGUGUAGUUUCAUCAUGGCCUUCAACUUGUCAUUAGCAUCCUUGUGAAUUUAUUCAUCGUUUGGAAAUGGAAUCAAAUAUAAAGGCUUGUAAGGAUUCACACCAUACAUCACUUAUAAAGGACAAUGACCUGUAGCAUAAGUAGGAGAACGAUUACAGGCAAACUCAGCAUGUGCAAGUUUGAUGUCCAACUGUUUUUGAGUUUUGCUAACCAACCCCCUCAACAACAUACCCAAAGUUCUAUUAGUCACCUUCGUUUGCCCAUCAGUUUGUGGAUGAUGGGACGUACUAAAAAGUAACUUAGUACCAACUUUCCUCCACAAAGUGUUCCAAAUGUAACUCAAAAACAAGGAAUCCCUAUCAGAAACAAUAGUUUUACAAAUAAUAUGCAAGCGGACCACUUCUUUACAGUACAAAUCAGACACAUUAGAUGAAUCAUUGGUUUUAUUACAUGGCAUAAAGUGAGCCAUUUUUGAAAACCUAUCCACCACCACUAUAACGGAUUCCUUCCCCCUUUGAGUUCUAGGAAAAACCAUACUUAAUUCCAUUGACACCUCUUGCCAAGGACGAAUAGGAAUCGACAAAGGAGUGUAAACACCAUGCUUGAAAGUUUUUUUCAUCAUCCGACAUGUAACACACUUUCCCACUAUGUUGGUUACAUCCCUAACAUCUUUAGGCUAGAAGAAAUGUUCUUAAAGCACCUUCAAAGUUUUGGUAAUGGAAAAAUGACCCGCCAAACCACCACCAUGAGCUUCACGAAUCAGCAACUCCCGUAUUGCAUGUUUAGGGACACAAAGGUGAUUGCCUUUUGAUGCCUUUAUGGGCUAGAUUAAGUGAGUGGGGCUGUGUUUAGGUAAAUGAAGCUAGAAUAAAAACCACAAAUGACAGGUGUAUGGGAAGAAAUGGAUAAACUAGUAACAAAUCAAGACCUACUAAGUUGUAUACCCGUGAAAACUAUCCAAGACAUAAUAUUUGUUUGAAUGCAUAUCAAGUCAAGAACACGUCUCGACUAUGACAAGUAGUGAACUAUAACUAUAAUUCAAAGUGAACAAAGGUUCUUUUGAUUAAAAUUUCAUCUAUCUCUUUUUUCCAUGCAUAAUUGGCUUAUAUGAAGCCUUUAUUACAAAGUUGUUGGUUACAAACCACCCAACCAACUACUCAGUAAAACUAAUAAUGGAAAUUAAAGAAACUCAUGAAACCACACAAAAAAAAGUCUGACACACUGAUGAAUGAAAAAAGUGUCCAUGCUCCAUUAAGGAGCAAAAAGAAGCAUUAAAGUGUAAUCCAAAUCCACCAAAGAGUAUCAACAAUGGCUAGAAGGCUUGACGAAGCAAAAAGUAACAGUUUUGAGCACUUAUUAAGCCUUUAAAAUGUUGCCCUAGCCUUCAUGCGACCCUAAUUUAAUACGUAGGUUACCAUGCACAACCCAACCAUUGAGUACAAACCACCUUCUAGCCUACUAGUAAUCACUAAUCCAUCACAUUUUUCGGCUUUUCAUGAGCCAUGCAUGGAUCCUCCCCUCCCUCUUUGAAAGGAAAUGACCUUAAUUCAUCAAGGCCAUCCUCAACAAGAUACGGUGAAAGGUCUCCCACAUUAAUGGUAGCAUGCACUCCAUGGUCUCGUCCCAGAUCAACCUUGUAAGUAUUAUCAUUGACAUGUGUCACCACUUUGUAAGGACCUUCAGCUCCUGGCUUCAACUUUUGUUCUUCCUUUUGUUAGGAAAACGUUCUUUCCUCAUACGCACCUAAACCAAGUCACCAUCUUCUAAGACACGUGGUUUCCUAAUCAUGUUGGAAUUUUGUUUGUAAAUGUCAUUCACAGCUUCAAACUUCACACAAACUUGUUGGUGUAGUUACAUCACGACCUUCAAUUUUUCAUUUGCAUCCCUUGUGAACCAGUUAAUCAUUUGGAAAUGGAAUCAAAUACAAAGGCUUGUAAGGAUUCACACCAUACACCACUUAUGAAGGCUUAUAAGGUCCUUCAGCUUUUGGCAUCAACUUUUGUUUGGAAAACGUUCUUUCCUCAUAUGCACCAACACCAAAUCACCAUCUUGAAAGACACGAGGUUUCCUAUACAUGUUGGAAUUCUGUUUGUACACGUCAAUCACGGCUUCAAUCUUCACACUAGCUUGUUGGUGUAGUUUCGUCAUGGCCUUCAACUUGUCAUUAGCAUCCUUGUGAACCAAUUCAUCGUUUGGAAAUGGAAUAAUAUACAAAGGCUCGUAAGGAUUCACACCAUACACCACUUACAAAGGCUUGUAAGGACCUUCAGCUCUUGGCAUCAACUCUUGUUCAAAGUGAACAAAGGUUAGUUUGAUUAAAAUUUCAUCUAUCUCUUUUUUCCAUGCAUAAUUGGCUUAUAUGAAGCCUUUAUAACAAAGUUGGUGGUUACUAGCCACCCAACCAACUACU
Molecule: long non-coding RNA, 6654 nt
Filed under: Lactuca sativa (garden lettuce)
Lineage: Eukaryota; Viridiplantae; Streptophyta; Magnoliopsida; Asterales; Asteraceae
Description: long non-coding RNA (LSAT_LNC004268)
Source: RNAcentral